Molecule: ribosomal RNA, 336 nt
Filed under: Triticum aestivum (bread wheat)
Lineage: Eukaryota; Viridiplantae; Streptophyta; Magnoliopsida; Poales; Poaceae
Description: partial small subunit ribosomal RNA
Source: RNAcentral
AUGGCGGUAGUGUACACCACCAUCCUGUCGUGCCGAGAUGGAUCACGGUGGUAUCAGCUCCAGCGAGGAAGGCGUGAUUUAUGUACUCUAUAUCCAACUGCACAGAUCACGUGGCUCCAAGUUCGUAAGAAAACAAGGAGACGUCUCCCCUUUUUCUUCCUUCUGGCAUCUUUUGCCUCAUUAAGAUCUCUCUCCAGUCUUUCCUCGCUGUCUUUUUAUAUUAUUAGUAGGACUACAUAUAUAGGAGUAUAUGACAACCAAUGCACCUGCAACACUACUCAACCAAGUAGCACCAUUGCAAGAUGGAGUAUAAAUUAUUUUCCCUCUUCAAAUUGA